Molecule: long non-coding RNA, 784 nt
Organism: Corythoichthys intestinalis (scribbled pipefish)
Lineage: Eukaryota; Metazoa; Chordata; Actinopteri; Syngnathiformes; Syngnathidae
Exons: 5
Source: RefSeq, a predicted model, not a curated record
UGUCAAUAUCUAUCCCAUGGUUGUCAAUAUCCACGUCUUUGCCCUCGUGUUCCUGCAUUCCCUGUUUGAACAGGCCUUUCCAUGGGCAAUUUUCCCAGGACGACCCCAUUAUUAUUCCGAGGAGACGUCUGCCCCCUCCGAGCCUGAUGGGUGGUCUUUCUGAAGGCAAAAGGAAGAGGAAAAGAAAGGGGAAAAGGCUCUGCCAGGUCAAUCACAGGCCACCUGAUGUCAUCUGAUCGCCAAGGUUGAUUUUUCAUGUUGCGUCCUAUCAGCAGCUACCGUUCGCUCCUCCACCAGCACGCUGAUAAGAUCCUUCUCAACGCUCACGAAGCAUGACAUCAUGAACAGGAGGAAGCUCGCAGGGUAUUUGCGAGACGCACGUCAACAGUCAGAACCCGCGGAACUCGAGUCGUGAGUGAUGACUGAUGGACGGAUCGGGUAACUAACGAGGAAUCUCAACUAUAACCUGAAUGUGAAAAACAGAUUUUUCGCACACCCCAUACUGGAUGUAACCCCAGACCAUGAUUUUGCCACCACCAAACUUCACUGUUUUCUGAGUGAAUCUCGGAUCCAUGUGGGCUCCGGUAGGUCUCCUGCAAUAUUAUUCAUCUGAAAAAUCCACCUUUUGCCACUUUUCCAGCGUCCAUCCUUUUGACAGGCUGUGGGCCUUGGCAAAUGCCACACAUUUUUUUAAUUGUCUGCACCCUGAGAGAUAAAUAGUCUGAAAUAUCAACAAAUCUUAGCUGCCUCUUACAUUCCUAACCAUAAAAAGGGACAAAUUCUG